AAAUUGAAGAGUUUGAUCAUGGCUCAGAUUGAACGCUGGCGGCAGGCCUAACACAUGCAAGUCGAACGGUAACAGGAAACAGCUUGCUGUUUCGCUGACGAGUGGCGGACGGGUGAGUAAUGUCUGGGAAACUGCCUGAUGGAGGGGGAUAACUACUGGAAACGGUAGCUAAUACCGCAUAACGUCGCAAGACCAAAGAGGGGGACCUUCGGGCCUCUUGCCAUCGGAUGUGCCCAGAUGGGAUUAGCUGGUAGGUGGGGUAACGGCUCACCUAGGCGACGAUCCCUAGCUGGUCUGAGAGGAUGACCAGCCACACUGGAACUGAGACACGGUCCAGACUCCUACGGGAGGCAGCAGUGGGGAAUAUUGCACAAUGGGCGCAAGCCUGAUGCAGCCAUGCCGCGUGUAUGAAGAAGGCCUUCGGGUUGUAAAGUACUUUCAGCGGGGAGGAAGGGAGUAAAGUUAAUACCUUUGCUCAUUGACGUUACCCGCAGAAGAAGCACCGGCUAACUCCGUGCCAGCAGCCGCGGUAAUACGGAGGGUGCAAGCGUUAAUC
Molecule: ribosomal RNA, 556 nt
Filed under: Escherichia coli
Lineage: Bacteria; Pseudomonadati; Pseudomonadota; Gammaproteobacteria; Enterobacterales; Enterobacteriaceae
Description: bacterial SSU rRNA
Rfam family: Bacterial small subunit ribosomal RNA
Source: RNAcentral